Molecule: ribosomal RNA, 492 nt
Filed under: uncultured bacterium
Lineage: Bacteria
Description: partial 16S ribosomal RNA
Rfam family: Bacterial small subunit ribosomal RNA
Source: RNAcentral
GAUGAACGCUGGCGGCGUGCCUAACACAUGCAAGUCGAACGGAAAGACGGUGAGAUUGUGCUCUUACCGUUUGCGGCGGGCGGGCGGGUAACGAGUGCAUCGGAUUCUUCUUUUUCUGGGAUGAUUACGUAAGGAAGGUUACGAUAAUACAGCAUACGAUGUACGGCUUGAAUCAGUGGAUCUUCACGGCUUUGGUGCAUGUACUAGCCGGUGUCGGGUUAGCUAGUUGGGGGGGUAAUGACCCACCAAGGCAACGGUCCGUAGCAGGGCUGAGAGGAUGAUCAGCCACACUGGAACGGAGACACGGUCCAGACUCCUACGGGAGGCAGCAGUGGGGAAUAUUGGGCAAUGGGCGAAAGCCUGAUCCAGCAAUACCGCGUGAGUGAUGAAGGCCUUCGGGUCGUAAAGCCCUUUUGUUGGGAAAGAAAAGCUGUAGGUUAAUACCUCGCUGUCUUGACGGUACCCAAUGAAUAAGCACCGGCUAACUACGUG